UAGGGAAUCUUCGGCAAUGGACGGAAGUCUGACCGAGCAACGCCGCGUGAGUGAAGAAGGUUUUCGGAUCGUAAAGCUCUGUUGUUAGAGAAGAACGUUGGUAGGAGUGGAAAAUCUACCAAGUGACGGUAACUAACCAGAAAGGGACGGCUAACUACGUGCCAGCAGCCGCGGUAAUACGUAGGUCCCGAGCGUUGUCCGGAUUUAUUGGGCGUAAAGCGAGCGCAGGCGGUUCUUUAAGUCUGAAGUUAAAGGCAGUGGCUUAACCAUUGUACGCUUUGGAAACUGGAGGACUUGAGUGCAUAAGGGGAGGGUGGAAUUCCAUGUGUAGCGGUGAAAUGCGUAGAUAUAUGGAGGAACACCGGUGGCGAAGGCGGCUCUCUGGUCUGUAACUGACGCUGAGGCUCGAAAGCGUGGGGAGCAAACAGG
Molecule: ribosomal RNA, 429 nt
Filed under: Bacillota bacterium
Lineage: Bacteria; Bacillati; Bacillota
Description: Firmicutes bacterium partial 16S ribosomal RNA
Rfam family: Bacterial small subunit ribosomal RNA
Source: RNAcentral